This 335-nucleotide long non-coding RNA is filed under the name Carica papaya (papaya). RNAcentral's name for it is "long non-coding RNA (CPAP_LNC015154)". Lineage: Eukaryota; Viridiplantae; Streptophyta; Magnoliopsida; Brassicales; Caricaceae. The record is from RNAcentral.
ACGAUGACAGAAGUAAAACCACAUCCCCUAUACAACACCAUUAAAUUCCCCAUUCGAUUAAGGCUUCUGUUCAAAUUGUCUAUGAUGUGGGAGGGAUGGCCAAUGAUUAUUUUGACUCCUGAAAUCUCACACAACAUUACAAUAAGAGAAUAUCACCUAAUUAACCCUCCUUACUUGAACCACAACUAACAAAUUGAUUGCAAAUCGAGGUAGCUGGAAAAAUAAAAAGAAAUUACAAAGAUAUCACUACUUAUCUGAUAAGUGAAUUCAAGAUUCUCUGACUUAAUAAGGUGGUCUGAAGCUCCCUACCUUGAAGAUACUUGAAGAACACUCUU